GACGAACGCUGGCGGCGUGCUUAACACAUGCAAGUCGAACGGCGAAGCGCCUUCCUUUUUGGUUGGUGUGGUUGAGUGGCGAACGGGUGAGUAACACUUAAGUAACCUUUCCCCUUCUUCUGGUUAACGGCAUGAAAGUCUAGCUAAUACGGGAUUUUCUGGUUCUUUCGCAUGAUUGGUCUGGUUAAGUUUUUGUUUCUGUUGUGGAUGGUCUCGCGCCCUAUCAUGUUGUUGUUUGUGUGAUGGCCUACCAAGGCGGGGAGGGGUAGACGGCGUGGGGGGGUGGGCGGACACACAGGGGAGGCGACACGGCCAAGACUGAGACGGGAGGCAGCAGUGGAGAAUAGGGCACAGUGGGGGAAAGGCUGAAGCAGCGACGCCGCGUGAGGGAUGGAGGCCUGCGGGUUGUGAACCUCUUUCGCGAGUGAAGCAGGGCUGCCUCGUUUGUGGGUGGGUUGACGGUAGCUGGAAAAGAAGCGCCGGCUAACUACGUG
RNAcentral lists this ribosomal RNA (494 nucleotides) under uncultured bacterium. Its description in RNAcentral is "partial 16S ribosomal RNA". It matches the Rfam family "Bacterial small subunit ribosomal RNA", at positions 28 to 507 of the family's 1533-position model. The record is from RNAcentral.